This 2667-nucleotide ribosomal RNA is filed under the name Triticum aestivum (bread wheat). Its description in RNAcentral is "partial small subunit ribosomal RNA". The record is from RNAcentral. Lineage: Eukaryota; Viridiplantae; Streptophyta; Magnoliopsida; Poales; Poaceae.
CGGCUCCCCAUCUCUUGUGGCUUGGGCGUGGGCGUGAACCCUAGCCCCCAGUCCACAGCCGCCACACCCCUCCUCCGGUCCUUCCCGCUCCCAAUCUCCUCUCCCACUCCGCCGCCACCCCGCUCCCCACUCGCCUCAGCCACCUCCUAUGCUCCCUCGCGCCACCGACUCCCUCCCUCCUCCCUCCCUCGUCAUCGCAGCCGACCACCUGCCGUCACUUAGGCCCCCAUGGCGGCUGCCGGGUCGGGGUGGAGGCAAUAGGCCAUGGAGAAUCUGGUGGUGUCUGUGGGUGCAGCAGGGGUAGAUGGAGCGUCGGAUGCGGGCGGGCUCCCACCCUUAGGCUCCACGACGGAGGCCAGUUCAGAGGGCGAAAGCAGAAAGCGGUGGCGUGUCCUACGCUUGUGGGCGGAAGCAGCGAGGUUGGUCGAGCGGUGAUUGUGGCCGGGGUCAGUAGCUGAAGGAGGCUCGCUGACUGGAACAGUAGGAGGAGCGCCUCGAGGAGUCGAAGGGAGAGGUCGUGCAGGCCAGACAAAGGAGAGCAAGGACGAUGAAUAUUCAAUCAGACCUAUGUUUUCUUCUCGAUGCACCUCGGCAUGAGGAGUCGUGCUAGGCAUCCUGGGGUGAUUCAAGAUGCUCAGGUGUACCACACUGCAUGCUACACAGGUCAAUUGUGCAGUGAAAUGAAAGGCCACAAACAACGCUUCUCCGGGAAGUGAAUUUUAUGGUGCCUUGCAUUCUGCUCAUUUGGCGCAAUUGUUCAUCACAAAGAGGAGGGGAGAGGUCUACCCUUGGGAAAUGGGUGCCUCUCCAGUCAAGCGAGCGACGACAAAUCCAACUGGAAAGGGCUCUGUGGUGAUCUUCAUGUUAUCAGUAACUAUACAUGAGUUUCCUUGCUAACAGUUGUUAUCUUUCAACGUUGCAAGUUUAGCCCUAUUUGCAAUACAACAUUCAAGCAAAUAAUUUGUGCUUUAUAUUUUGAAAUGCAUGUGCAGCAUGUUUUUUUCUCUUUUAUCCAAGCUACUAUGCAAAAUUGUAUUGUUUUACGGCCAUUUGGUUCAUAGGAGUGAGCUUUGUAGGACUGGGAUAAUACAUGCAUGUGCAGUAUUAUAGAUACACAGUUAGCUGUUGAACAAUUCUUAUUUGUAGUUCUCUGAAAUAUUACUUCCUUACUUUAAAUUUACCUUCUUUCUUAUCCAUGUACAAGCAAAGGGAUUUAUAGCUGGUGAAGAGCAGCAAGGCAAGGCCAUUGCGCCGGCUGUUGAGCUUGAAAAGUUCGUAUGGAAUAUGCAAAAAAAUAUUUUUUCCGUUAUGUUCUGUUGGAAUUUGUCACAUUUCUUUUGUGAAAGAAUGUGCCAUUGUCUAAUAUAUUUGUCAAACAAAAAAUAGUUGCAUAUACUAGACUGGAUGGUUUGAGAAACUACGGGCACUAUCAAGAGUGUGUUAUAGGAAAUUUGUUUAAUUACAUAUAUCAUAUAUGUUCUGCUCUUAAGAGAUUAGUUUAGUUACAUGUAUAUUCUGCUUUGUGGUGUCACCCCUACAUCUAUUCAUGCAUAAUGAAUUUGGUGGUGUCAUUCUUUAUAUUGCAACAUGUUAAACAAUCUUGUGAUUGUAAUAUUUUUUUGGUGUUGCCAUAAAAUUAGAAACAUUUAUUGAAAUUGUUCAGUAAUGCAGUUUUAUGAUAUUGAGUGCCUUAGCCUUUGGUUGGAUAUAGAGUUUGAAAACAAUAUCUAGGUUGGAGCACACUAUGCUACAUCAAAAAGGACCUACAUAGCUAAUCAAGUAUGUUUGCUAAGAGGUGAACUUAGCAAAAUUGAGGAUGUCAGCUUUUACAUUUUGUCAUGCUUGGCUUAGAUAAGAUGUAUCCAUGCUUUUUUGUGUUUGUACCAAAGCUUCCUUGCCUUUAGAGGAUUUUGUGCAAGCUUUGCAUUUUCUUUGCCUGAGGCUACAAAUGCAUAUUUUCAUUUGUUCUGGUAGUUUUAUUACCUUCGGAACAGUCACAUGCAUGAGGCAGUGAGUUUGGACAAGGUGGAGCAGCGUCGACUGUCACACACACUAAUGGAGAUUGGGAUGUCUACCUUCCUAUUGACGAUCUUAUAAUUCAUCUGCUAACUGACAUAUUUUAGCCAUAUAAUUUCUGGUGACUGGAAGUCUAAAACUGAAGAUAGGGCAGAUUGUUUUGAUUAUGAUUACUUGGAGAUCUCGUGGCUUGCUGUCCAUGGAUCAGUCAGACCUACGGCAACAUCAACUCAUUGAUUCUAGAGGCCAUGGUUCUCGAGAACAACAUGUCAUAAAUGUGGUGCUGGGCAAACAGAAGAGAUGUUGUACAGAGUGACUCCAUAACUGAAGAGUAGACAAACAUUGUGCAAGGCAUUUUUGUUCAGUUCCUUUCAAAAAUGAAGGAAUUACAGUGCAUCUGACCUGUAAAGGAGUGUGACGGACAAAAUGCUAUGAAUCAGAGGAGUGGAGGGAAGAGUUUACCAACAACUUUUGAAGGGACAAAGUGUGACCUGGAUUCGAGAAACAAAAUGUGACCUGGAUUCCUAAGUUAUAGCCAACGUUGCAAAAUUGUAUAGAGAAUGCCCGCAUUUUGGAAACUCUACAUAGUUUGAGGCUAUGUUCCUUUCAAUUUUCAGCAUUAUUAAAAAAAUUCUUAUUGUUGCUAUUUUC